CCUACGGGAGGCAGCAGUGAGGAAUAUUGGUCAAUGGACGAGAGUCUGAACCAGCCAAGUAGCGUGAAGGAUGACUGCCCUAUGGGUUGUAAACUUCUUUUAUCUGGGAAUAAAAUGUUCCACGUGUGGGAUUUUGUAUGUACAAUAUGAAUAAGGAUCGGCUAACUCCGUGCCAGCAGCCGCGGUAAUACGGAGGAUCCGAGCGUUAUCCGGAUUUAUUGGGUUUAAAGGGAGCGUAGGUGGAUUGUUAAGUCAGUUGUGAAAGUUUGCGGCUCAACCGUAAAAUUGCAGUUGAAACUGGCAGUCUUGAGUACAGUAGAGGUGGGCGGAAUGCGUGGUGUAGCGGUGAAAUGCUUAGAUAUCACGAAGAACUCCGAUUGCGAAGGCAGUUCACUGGACUGCAACUGACACUGAGGCUCGAAAGUGUGGGUAUCAAACAGGAUUAGAUACCCCGGUAGUC
RNAcentral lists this ribosomal RNA (460 nucleotides) under uncultured bacterium. RNAcentral describes it as "partial 16S ribosomal RNA". It matches the Rfam family "Bacterial small subunit ribosomal RNA", at positions 338 to 795 of the family's 1533-position model. The record is from RNAcentral.